Molecule: long non-coding RNA, 870 nt
Organism: Ruditapes philippinarum (Manila clam)
Lineage: Eukaryota; Metazoa; Mollusca; Bivalvia; Venerida; Veneridae
Exons: 2
Source: RefSeq, a predicted model, not a curated record
UUUCUCUUUUAGAUUGUAUAAGCUCGAUGUAUGGUGCCCUGUUUUGGACAUUUAAUAAUAGUCGAAAGUAUAUUUCGACUUUUUGGAAACUAUAAUUCUUUCCAUUACCGGAGAUCAUAGCCGAAGUUCUGCUAAAGCGGCAUACGAGAAUUAGAAUAAAUACUCGCAACGGUUAUAAUCAGAGUAAUGUUUGACACUUGUGAGGAUUAAAGUGAAGCUGGUGAGGAUUAAAGUUGAAACUCGCGAGGAUUAAAGUUGAAGUUUGUGAGGAUUAAAGUUGAAGCUCGCGAGGAUUAAAGUUGAAGCUGGUAAGGAUUAAAGUUGAAACUCGCGAGGCUUAAAUUGAAGCUGGUAAGGAUUAAAGUUGAAACUCGCGAGGCUUAAAGUGAAGCUGGUGAGGAUUAAAGUUGAAACUCGCGAGGAUUAAAGUUGGAGUUUGUGAGGAUUAAAGUUGAAGCUCGCGAGGAUUAAAGUUGAAGCUGGUAAGGAUUAAAGUUGAAACUCGCGAGGCUUAAAGUGAAGCUGGUGAGGAUUAAAGUUGAAACUCGCGAGGAUUAAAGUUGGAGUUUGUGAGGAUUAAAAUUGAGGCUUGAGAGGAUUAAAUUGAAGUCAAACGUUAAAUCACAGUAUGGUUGCUCCACAAUAAUGAUAAAUAUCGCUACUAAAGUGACUUAAUCAAAAUCUUGCAUAUCAACAGACGACAUUUUAACUGACCAAAACAGAACACCCUAACUUUGGUUCGAAUAAUAAUUAGAUGCAUAUCAAGUUAAUGCAUAAUUUCAACGUAAAACAUGAUUGUCUUAAACUACCCUAACUGUAUAAAUGUAAAUGCUAUCUUUUGUAUAUAAAUAUAACUAAGAUAUUGAUAAA